This is a non-coding RNA of Caretta caretta (loggerhead turtle), 762 nucleotides long. The record is from RefSeq and is a predicted model, not a curated record. NCBI's taxonomy places the organism in Eukaryota, Metazoa, Chordata, Testudines, Cheloniidae.
CUUUUUCUGUGUGUUGUGGUUCUCCAGGAAAGAAGGGAACAGGAAGCAGUUAUGCUCUAAAAAGCUUUAAGCCAGAGCUGUCUGCAAAACACAUUUGGGACCGUGGAGGCCCUGAGAGCCUGGGCUGCUGAGGAGCCACAAAUCUGGAGCUUGGGAGCCAGGGCUUCCAGGCACCUGACUCCCCCUCAUCUCACCAGAUGGGCUGCCAAGGAGCUGGUUGCCUAGAAGCUCUGGGAGCCUGGGCUCCCAGUAGCCCAUCAAAGAGACUUCUGAGAAACUGGGAGGAACUCCUGCCUGAUUUCCAUUGUGAUUGCUUUGAAAUUGACAGGUCUCCAGGGAAUGUUUUGGAUUUUGAUGAAUCAGCAAAUUUGGACAAAAAUGAAACGUUUAACGAUGGAAUGCAGAAUGUCAACAGACUGGAAUUCGAAUGCUUUAUUAUACCUGAUGUAAAACAUGUUAAUUUUCUUUUUAGUCUAGCCCAUGUUCAUACAUCAUUUGCCUUGCUCUUGUGAAAUGGGAAUAGCAGCUCCUGGCUCUAAAAAGUGUUUUCAUUGUUUUCUCUAUCAAAUGUUUCAAGAUACAUUGUAUCAAAUUAAAAUAGAAUUGAAUUGCAGUAAAGCUACUAAAAGAAUUCAUUGCACUCCACACAGUUUGCACUAAAGAUACUAUGCAGUGUGAAUGGGCAGUUCAAUGCCAAAGGAUUUGUACUUAUGUGCUUGUUGUAAUAAAAGUUGCAUAUGAAUACAUCAUUCAGUGUAUUUA